Long non-coding RNA from Prunus dulcis (almond), 495 nucleotides. RefSeq lists it as uncharacterized. The transcript is spliced from 2 exons. NCBI's taxonomy places the organism in Eukaryota, Viridiplantae, Streptophyta, Magnoliopsida, Rosales, Rosaceae. The record is from RefSeq and is a predicted model, not a curated record.
UUUGGUCUUGCGCUGGAGAUGGUCUAAUGACCAACAAUCAAAGUUCGAAAAUGGUUCCUGGGCGGGUCUGGCAUCUCUGCAAAUGCAUCAAGCUAGCGACUCACUCUUUCUCAUCGUUUAUCAACAACGUAAAGGUUAGCUCUUCCCAACAAUUCACUCUUUUUAUCUGUGCAUUCUUUAUGCUGCGACUUAGAGUGCUUUCGUUGAAGAGGGAUGUUGUGGCAACAAUUGUUCAUGAACUCAGGCCAAAUCCUUCCGAUCACAAGACAAAGGCUAAAGGUGGGGGUCUUUCACAUGUGGAAUGAGGAAACUCAAGCCAUGCUAGCAGUUCAAAGGCUGAAAUGAACAAGUUAUGCUAACUGUGACCUGCUGUGCUUCUUAAGAAUGGAACACUCUUUGUACGUACAUCGAUAAUAAAAAUACCAUGGAAAUUACUUGAAUUGUUGUCACAAUCCUUAUUUGUGGCUCUUUUUCUAUGUUUUCUUUCUUUCGCUU